This 440-nucleotide ribosomal RNA is filed under the name uncultured bacterium. RNAcentral's name for it is "partial 16S ribosomal RNA". It matches the Rfam family "Bacterial small subunit ribosomal RNA", at positions 338 to 795 of the family's 1533-position model. The record is from RNAcentral.
CCUACGGGAGGCAGCAGUAGGGAAUAUUGCUCAAUGGGGGAAACCCUGAAGCAGCAACGCCGCGUGGAGGAUGAAGGUUUUCGGAUUGUAAACUCCUUUUGUUAGAGAAGAUAAUGACGGUAUCUAACGAAUAAGCACCGGCAAACUCCGUGCCAGCAGCCGCGGGAAUACGGAGGGUGCAAGCGUUACUCGGAAUCACUGGGCGUAAAGCGCGCGUAGGCGGGAUAGCAAGGCAGAAGUGAAAUCCUAUGGCUUAACCAUAGAACUGCAUUUGAGACUGGUAUUCUAGAGUAGGGGAGAGGUAGGUGGAAUUCUUGGUGUAGGGGUAAAAUCCGUAGAGAUCAAGAGGAAUACUCAUUGCGAAGGCGACCUGCUAGAACAUAACUGACGCUGAUGCGCGAAAGCGUGGGGAGCAAACAGGAUUAGAUACCCGGGUAGUC